AGAUGUGAGGGUGAUCUGAUCACCAGGGUUGAUUCAGCUGAUCUGGCUGGCUAGGCAGGUGUUCCCUUCCUCCCUCACCACUCCAUGUGCAUCCCUCCCAAAGCUGCUUGCUCAGUCAAAGAGGACAAGCUUCCCUGAAGAGGAGGACCAGACUUCGGUCAAGGGUAUAUGAGUAGCUGGGUUCCCCUGCUAGAACCUCCAAACAAGCUCUCAAGAAUGUGGCCUGGGUUAAAUGCAACUAAAAAGUCUCAGAUGAAGAGAAUUUGUCACAAAACAUCAGACAAAUCAACAAU
Molecule: small nuclear RNA, 293 nt
Filed under: Cricetulus griseus (Chinese hamster)
Lineage: Eukaryota; Metazoa; Chordata; Mammalia; Rodentia; Cricetidae
Description: 7SK RNA
Rfam family: 7SK RNA
About the family: 7SK was discovered as an abundant small nuclear RNA in the mid-70s but a possible function has only recently been suggested. Two independent studies have found that 7SK RNA binds the CDK9/cyclin T complex (known as elongation factor P-TEFb).
Source: Rfam by way of RNAcentral